Molecule: ribosomal RNA, 524 nt
Filed under: uncultured bacterium
Lineage: Bacteria
Description: bacterial SSU rRNA
Rfam family: Bacterial small subunit ribosomal RNA
Source: RNAcentral
CUAUGGAUACUCGCUGUAGGCGAUACACAGUCUGCGGCCAAGCGAAAGCAUUAAGUAUCCCACCUGGGGAGUACGCCGGCAACGGUGAAACUCAAAGGAAUUGACGGGGGCCCGCACAAGCGGAGGAACAUGUGGUUUAAUUCGAUGAUACGCGAGGAACCUUACCCGGGCUUAAAUUGCAACUGAAUAGCUGAGAGAUCAGUUAGCUAGCAAUAGCAGUUGUGAAGGUGCUGCAUGGUUGUCGUCAGCUCGUGCCGUGAGGUGUCGGCUUAAGUGCCAUAACGAGCGCAACCCUUGUCGAUAGUUACUAACAGGUUAUGCUGAGGACUCUAUCGAGACUGCCAUCGUAAGAUGUGAGGAAGGUGGGGAUGACGUCAAAUCAGCACGGCCCUUACGUCCGGGGCUACACACGUGUUACAAUGGAGGGUACAGAAGGCAGCUACACGGCGACGUGAUGCUAAUCCCGAAAACCUUUCUCAGUUCGGAUCGAAGUCUGCAACCCGACUUCGUGAAGCUGGAUUCGC